CACUACAGGUGACUGAUGAUGUGAGCCAAAAGUCCACUAGAGUGGUCCCUGCCCCCACUCAGCCUGAACAUUUGGAUGAUGGAGGCGUUGGUAUAUCCACACAAGUAUCUUCUCCAAGGAAACGAAAGACAGAUGUGUCAGCCAAGCCAACACACAUGCCGCAAAAACAAAAGUGGAAGUCAGAUGUGACAAGCAGGCCACAUGUCUCCACCACGACGCCACAUCUCAGAGGUGUCAUCCAGGCCACCACUACAACUUUUGGAGUGUCCCUCGCCAAUAUCACCAC
This is a long non-coding RNA of Pseudophryne corroboree (corroboree frog), 286 nucleotides long. RefSeq lists it as uncharacterized. The record is from RefSeq and is a predicted model, not a curated record. The transcript has 3 exons. Lineage: Eukaryota; Metazoa; Chordata; Amphibia; Anura; Myobatrachidae.